Molecule: long non-coding RNA, 1112 nt
Filed under: Androctonus crassicauda
Lineage: Eukaryota; Metazoa; Arthropoda; Arachnida; Scorpiones; Buthidae
Source: RNAcentral
ACAGUUCCUCUUUUUUUCUUUGAGAAUGCCAGCAUUUGACCAAUAACAUAUUUCCUUUUAACUCAUGUUCAUGUACAUAACUUGCACAAAAAAGGAAAACCACAUUCUCUUAAUCUUCUUAUAUUGUUCAAUGUUCAAGUGGUGCUUAAAGUAGUCAAAGCUUGCUUUGAUUGUAAAACUUAUUUAUAGUUUGUAACAUUGCGAAGUCUGGGCCCUCACUCAAACCUCGACUAAAAUUCCGACCCCGAACUCUUUCUAGUCUUAUAAAUCUUUAGAUGAACUUGCAUUUCUCUGACCUCCAACCAUCAUUGAAAAGACUUUGCUGCUUCAAUAAAAAACUCCAUUUUUCUCUACCACCAUUUAUUAUUAACAGAAUGUUACUUACAAGUGAAUUAAUAACUAAAACAAUUACAAUCAACUUCUGGUUAUUUUCAGUCAAAAAACCUUCUACAAAUAAAACCACAAGUCAUCUCCACAGUCCUUCUUAAAAAAUACAGUCCACCAAUACAAACAAACACCACGAUCUACCAGCACAACCACGACUUGGCAAUCCACAAAAAGAAGAGGCUCUCUCCUACGUCAUCUCCCUGCACUUCUUAUACCAUCUAUCUGAAUUAACAUAAUUUUAACAGUAAAAAAAGAAAAGAUUAAUUUCAAACAAAUUGCAAUAAAUAAAUUAUUAAUAUUUUCUUUUAAAUAAAUAUAUUAGCAUAACUUUCAAUAUUUAGAACAAAAACACAACAGCAAUUCAAAAUAAUGACAACAAAAAAUGCAAAUGAGAAUAUGAUGGCGGCACAUAGCGAACAGUUCUGGUAAGCACUCCAAUCCCUUACAUCAUCAUCAUGAUAUCAUGCACAUGACCAGCUGCGAUUUGUUUUCCAUCUCUCUGACACCAUAUUGUGCCAUCACAGCAUGGAUGUUUCCGAUGAAAUCAGUCAAUUGAAUCUGAAUAAUUCCAGAUGAUAAACAACUACUUUAUUACUUAGUCUGCAUUGAUUGAAAUCUAUAUAAUGUUUCCAUGCCAGCAAUUGACCUGUGAAGAGGUUAAUUAGGACCUAUCCUAUUUAUUAUUUUAUUAUGCUCUCAUUAUUUUAUCAUUAUAUUCAUUAUUG